GACCAACAGGGAUUGCCUCAGUAACGGCGAGUGAAGCGGCAAAAGCUCAAAUUUGAAAUCUAGUCCAUUAUAUGGGCUCGAAUUGUAAUUUGCAGAGGAAACUUUGGUGCGAUCAUGGUCUAAGUUCCUUGGAACAGGACAUCACAGAGGGUGAGAAUCCCGUAUGUGGCUAUUGAUUCAAUCCGUGUAAAGUUCCUUCAACGAGUCGAGUUGUUUGGGAAUGCAGCUCUAAAUGGGAGGUAAAUUUCUUCUAAAGCUAAAUAUUGGCCAGAGACCGAUAGCGAACAAGUAGAGUGAUCGAAAGAUGAAAAGCACUUUGGAAAGAGAGUUAAACAGUAUGUGAAAUUGUUGAAAGGGAAGCGCUUGCAAUCAGACUUGUUUAUAG
RNAcentral lists this ribosomal RNA (385 nucleotides) under Pyxidiophora arvernensis. RNAcentral's name for it is "partial large subunit ribosomal RNA". It matches the Rfam family "Eukaryotic large subunit ribosomal RNA", at positions 56 to 444 of the family's 3401-position model. Lineage: Eukaryota; Fungi; Ascomycota; Laboulbeniomycetes; Pyxidiophorales; Pyxidiophoraceae. The record is from RNAcentral.